This 492-nucleotide ribosomal RNA is filed under the name uncultured bacterium. RNAcentral describes it as "partial 16S ribosomal RNA". It matches the Rfam family "Bacterial small subunit ribosomal RNA", at positions 29 to 507 of the family's 1533-position model. The record is from RNAcentral.
AGUGAACGCUGGCGGUAGGCCUAACACAUGCAAGUCGAACGGCAGCACAGUAAGAGCUUGCUCUUACGGGUGGCGAGUGGCGGACGGGUGAGGAAUACAUCGGAAUCUACUUUUUCGUGGGGGAUAACGUAGGGAAACUUACGCUAAUACCGCAUACGACCUACGGGUGAAAGCAGGGGAUCUUCGGACCUUGCGCGAUUGAAUGAGCCGAUGUCGGAUUAGCUAGUUGGCGGGGUAAAGGCCCGCCAAGGCGACGAUCCGUAGCUGGUCUGAGAGGGUGAUCAGCCACACUGGAACUGAGACACGGUCCAGACUCCUACGGGAGGCAGCAGUGGGGAAUAUUGGACAAUGGGCGCAAGCCUGAUCCAGCCAUACCGCGUGGGUGAAGAAGGCCUUCGGGUUGUAAAGCCCUUUUGUUGGGAAAGAAAAGCAGCAGGUUAAUACCCCGCUGUUCUGACGGUACCCAAAGAAUAAGCACCGGCUAACUUCGUG